UAAAGGAGAAACUUGAAAGUAAAAGCUACGAAUAUGACUAUGGAGUCUUCAGGCGUCCCCUUCGUCGUCCUCCUGCGGAACCGGCUCGGGAACGAUGUCUUCCUGAUCUGAAAUGAUUAAAUAAGGAAUGAGCUACACUAGCCCAGUAAAGACAUCACGAUAUCUCACCGUCACGGAGGUAAAGGUGGGUAGAAAACACAAAAAGACCAAUGGAGCAUAAUUUACAACAAAUUCUUUUAUCAAUAAUAAAUCCUUCACCAUCCAUUUACCCGAUAGAAUCCAUAAAACAGUGUACGAAAGCAAUAAUAUUAUCAUCAUCAUGAAAUCAUAUAUAAACUGUAUAACAUAAUACUUAUCAAGCCUUUCGUAAUUCAAUUGUUACACAACAUAUUUUCCUCAUUUACCAGCCCACUAGUAUCCAUGGGGAUCCAUAGGGGUCCCGCUACCCGUUAACCCUUAACACUUGAAAUCAUAUUCCAGGGCCGUCCUCAUAUCUCGUCCGGUAUGAGUGCCAAAACUAUAGACCUCAUUACCUCGUCCGGUAUGAGGGUGAAACGGGCCGUCCCCAUACCCCGUCCGGUAUGGGCGCCAAAACACAUAA
RNAcentral lists this long non-coding RNA (601 nucleotides) under Carica papaya (papaya). Its description in RNAcentral is "long non-coding RNA (CPAP_LNC014451)". The record is from RNAcentral. Lineage: Eukaryota; Viridiplantae; Streptophyta; Magnoliopsida; Brassicales; Caricaceae.